AUACGUAGGUCCCGAACGUUGCGCGAAAUUACUGGGCGUAAAGGGUCCGUAGGCGGUCUGGUAAGUGGAAGGUGAAAGCCUGGGGCUCAACUCCAGAAUUGCCUUCCAAACUGCCGGACUUGAGGCAGGGAGAGGUGGGCGGAAUUCCCGGUGUAGUGGUGAAAUGCGUAGAUAUCGGGAGGAACACCAGUGGCGAAGGCGGCCGACUGGAACUGUCCUGACGCUGAGGGACGAAAGCCAGGGGAGCGAACCGGAUUAGAAACCCUAGUAGUCC
RNAcentral lists this ribosomal RNA (274 nucleotides) under uncultured bacterium. Its description in RNAcentral is "partial 16S ribosomal RNA". It matches the Rfam family "Bacterial small subunit ribosomal RNA", at positions 523 to 796 of the family's 1533-position model. The record is from RNAcentral.